GAUGAACGCUGGCGGCGUGCCUAAUACAUGCAAGUCGAGCGAAGCGGGGACGGGUGAGUAACACGUGGACAACCUCCUAUAAGACUGGGAUAACAUCGGGAAACCAGAGCUAAACCGGCUACUUUUAGAUGGAUCAGCGCUGCAUUAGCUAGUGGGUAAGGUAACGGCUUACCAAGGCAACGAUGCAUAGCCGAUCUGAGAGGGUGAUCGGCAACACUGGAACUGAGACACGGGCCAGAGUCCUACGGGAGGCAGCAGUAGGGAAGCUUCCGCAAUGGGCGAAAGCCUGACGGAGCAACGCCGCGUGAGUGAUGAAGGUCUUCGGAUCGUAAAACUCUGUUAUGAGGGAGGCGGUACCUAAUCAGAAAGCCGCGGCUAACUACGUGCCAGCAGCCGCGGUAAUAC
This 405-nucleotide ribosomal RNA is filed under the name uncultured bacterium. RNAcentral describes it as "partial 16S ribosomal RNA". It matches the Rfam family "Bacterial small subunit ribosomal RNA", at positions 28 to 526 of the family's 1533-position model. The record is from RNAcentral.